Molecule: ribosomal RNA, 150 nt
Filed under: uncultured eukaryote
Lineage: Eukaryota
Description: partial 18S ribosomal RNA
Rfam family: Eukaryotic small subunit ribosomal RNA
Source: RNAcentral
UGGUGGAGUGAUUUGUCUGGUUAAUUCCGUUAACGAACGAGACCUCAGCCUGCUGGUGUAGUCGGCCGUAUGCCCGUCGGGCCUACGCCCCGUCCGACUUCUUAGAGGGACUAUCGAUGUUGCAGUCGAUGGAAGUUUGAGGCAAUAACA